Molecule: transfer RNA, 85 nt
Filed under: Caudoviricetes sp.
Lineage: Duplodnaviria; Heunggongvirae; Uroviricota; Caudoviricetes
Description: tRNA-Leu
Rfam family: tRNA
About the family: Transfer RNA (tRNA) molecules are approximately 80 nucleotides in length. Their secondary structure includes four short double-helical elements and three loops (D, anti-codon, and T loops). Further hydrogen bonds mediate the characteristic L-shaped molecular structure. tRNAs have two regions of fundamental functional importance: the anti-codon, which is responsible for specific mRNA codon recognition, and the 3' end, to which the tRNAs corresponding amino acid is attached (by aminoacyl-tRNA synthetases). tRNAs cope with the degeneracy of the genetic code in two manners: having more than one tRNA (with a specific anti-codon) for a particular amino acid; and 'wobble' base-pairing, i.e. permitting non-standard base-pairing at the 3rd anti-codon position.
Source: RNAcentral
GCGAGGUUGGCGAAAUUGGUAACCGCAUCGCACUUAAAAUGCGCCGCCUAAUGGCUUAUGGGUUCGAAUCCCAUACCUCGCACCA